AUAUUAUAUAUAAAAAUAAUGUAUUUUAAAGAAAAAAUUGCUUAUAUACACCUUAAAACCUUUGAAAUAUCUUAUUUAUUCGUACUUUUUUUAUUUCAAAUAUAUCCGUUAUAUAUUUUUCCGUUAUUCAAAAAUAUCUUUAAUGCUUGUUAAGUCAUUCGGAUUAAAUCUAAGUUAAAUUUCUACCAUAGCUAAAAAAUAGUAAAAGUACAUAUUUUAUCCCUAACUCAAAGGCAAAUAAGAAAAGUUGGUCAUGGUAAAAUGAUAUAUUUGAAAAGGCAAAAAGUAAAAAUAUUUUUUUGUCCCUAACUUAAGGACAAAUAAGAAAAGUUGAUAACGAUAGAAUGGUAUAUUUGAAAUGGCAAAAUGAUAAUUUUAUAGAGAUAAAGACUGUUACUAACAAUUCACUAUAAUAGAAUUUAACUCUAGGGAUAAAUAUGAAAGGCUUUGAAAUCUUAAAAAAGUAUUUUUAAUAUUAACCUUUUAUGCGGGAUAAAUAAGAAAAUCGAAAACCUUUCAGGGUAUAUAAGCAAUUGUUCCUAUUUUAAAAUAUCUAUUAUUACGGGUCAAAUAGUUUUUUGAUUAUGUAAAGAAAACUUUUUGUUCAGUAUUUAUAAGUUUAAUAUAUAGAUAUUUUAAAUGUCAUAAAACUCAAUCCAACGAAUUAGGUAGCGGUUUUGAGAAUUUUAGAUUAAACAACUUUACGUGGAAAACAAUUCAAAAGUAGCAAUUCAAAUCAUAUUGAGUAGAAAAAAAAAAAGGUAAAUUUCAAAUACCACUUCUGUAGUUUCGUACUUUCUCACUUUAGUACCAUGUGAUUUAAAAUGUAUCAAUAUAGUACCCAGUGGUUUCAUAUUUUUCUCUUUUCGCCGGCCACUCCGUUAACUUUUUGCUAAAUCAUAUACAAAAACUUCAGAUAUCCCACAUAUAGUUUAUCAAAUAUUCACUUUAGUACCUUUUAAUUUUAAUUUUGUCACUGAUUUAACAAAAAGUUUUAGUGAAAGGAAUAAGAACAAGAGAAAAAUAAAAUUAUAGGGUACGAAAGUGAUACAUUUUAAACGACAAAUUACUAAAAUGAGAAAGUGCGAAAUUACAGCGGUGAUAUUUGAAGUUUUUCCAAAAAGAAAAUACCGUAAGAAAAAAAAAUCUUUUUU
This 1154-nucleotide long non-coding RNA is filed under the name Ananas comosus (pineapple). RNAcentral describes it as "long non-coding RNA (ACOM_LNC015361)". Lineage: Eukaryota; Viridiplantae; Streptophyta; Magnoliopsida; Poales; Bromeliaceae. The record is from RNAcentral.